RNAcentral lists this ribosomal RNA (458 nucleotides) under uncultured bacterium. RNAcentral's name for it is "bacterial SSU rRNA". It matches the Rfam family "Bacterial small subunit ribosomal RNA", at positions 29 to 506 of the family's 1533-position model. The record is from RNAcentral.
GUGAACGCUGGCGGCGUGCCUAACACAUGCAAGUCGAACGAUGAUAGAGAGCUUGCUCUCUUGAUUAGUGGCGCACGGGUGAGUAUACCAUAGAUAAUGUACCCCUUAGUUCGGGAUAGCCACUGGAAACGGUGAUUAAUACCGGAUACUCCUUCUCGUUAUAAGACGAGUCGGGAAAGUUUUUUCGCUAAGGGAUCAGUCUAUGUCCUAUCAGCUAGUUGGUGAGGUAAUGGCUCACCAAGGCUAUGACGGGUAUCUGGUUUGAGAGGAUGAUCAGACACACUGGAACUGAGACACGGUCCAGACUCCUACGGGAGGCAGCAGUGAGGAAUAUUGCACAAUGGAGGAAACUCUGAUGCAGCAACGCCGCGUGGAGGAUGACGCAUUUCGGUGUGUAAACUCCUUUUAUUAGGGAAGAUUAUGACGGUACCUAAUGAAUAAGCACCGGCUAACUCCGU